UAUGUGCACCAGUGCUCAGUGUGUAAUGAGUAUGCUCACUAGCAACAGAAGGAGACCAUGAUGUUACACCCACUCCCUGCACAUCCCUGGCAACUGGUGAGUAUGGACCUGUUCAGCCACGCAUGGCAGGAUUUCCUGCUCAUGGUGGAUCACUAGACUUCUGGGAGAUCGAUCUACUUCCAGACUUCCAGACCUGUCAGCAGAAACAGCCAUCAAAAGGUGCAAGGCGCAGUUUGCACAGUACAGCAUCCCUGACCAGGUCAUUUGUGGAGGUCAGUUUGACUGGGAGAGUUUCGGGUUCUUGUGAGGGAGUGGGGCUUCGAGCAUGUCAUGUUCUCCCCAAGACACCCAAAAGCUAACGGCAAGCCUUUUCUACACUGGAGGAACACGCCCACUGAGGGCAUGUGCUGCAGCCCAGCACAACAACUGAUACUACUAUUUUGUGGUUAUUGUUCUACAGUGGUUCUGGUUGAUUGACUUGUUGUCUCUUCUUGUCAGUGACAUACGCAACAGUAAGCAAAAUGAAAAGUUUUAACUUUGGUAAUUUGGUUGCAGAGGACUUUAUCUAUUUCAUCAACAGACACUGUCAACUUUACUGUUUUCAGUGUCACCACUCAGCAUUGUUUUCAGUUGCAGCACACAGUUGUCACACUAUACACUACUCCCACCAACAGCAGACAGUUCAGUUUUCAACUAGCUGUUGAACAUAGUGGAUCAUUAUCAGCUAAAGAGCUAGACAUUUCCCUCCGGAGGUAAUUGUUUUCAAACCACUUAUAUUCAUCAGAUGGCCAGAAACAAGAGUCCAAAAUUCUAAUGAUGCCCUUUGUCUGCUGGAUGUGUGCUUUGGCGACUGAUAUCCUGCAGACAAGGGCAUGAUUGUGUGUGUCAUGGUAACGUAGUUUCAGGUUCAACAACAUGCCAUACAUCGUGGGUGUGGAUGUGUGAGAGACUGUGAGAAAAAUGCAGAAUCAGCUGAUCAGCCACUCUGAAUGUGACAGUUAUGAACAAGAUAGAAAGAUCCAGAUAUGACAAGAUAUAUAAAGUAAGAGUUUAAAAAUGAAUUCCAAUCACAAACAGAUUUGCUUUUUGAGGGGGCUCUUAAAGGUGUAUAAGCAGCCGAUCAACAGAGUAACUGCUAACUGCUUUUAAGUGUAGCUACUUUUAGCAAGUUAGCUCAGUUGGCAGUGCAGCUAGCAGUCCAUACUGCGAGCCUGGAGCACUGAGGGAGUGUAAGUGCUGUUUAUACUGCAAGCACAGGAGCUUUGGACCACCAGGAGGAGAAGGUUCUCGGGUCUGGGUCAGGUAGAACCCAGUGGGGAUUACUGGCAGGGAGCUGCGCCACAACAACAUAUCAAAACUGUUAUUUCCUCAUAUCUCUAAAUAAUUAUUAGAUUUUUAAAACAUUUUUCAGCUAAUAAACUGUAAAGUAAGUUAAACAAAACAAACUGAACUUACUGUUAGUUGGUUAGUGGUUUAACCGGUUCAACCCACCUGGUGACAAUGAUGCAGAAAGCUGUGUGCAGGAAACCUGGAGUGCCACACCUGACAAUCCAGAGACAGACACUGACCAUGUCAGAAGGAAUUCUCUCUGAGAAGUGGGACCAAAUUGGACUAUAAAUGGAGAUACUAUAAUUCUUUCAAGUGUGUUUGGGACUGCUGUGGGUGGCUUGAACGUCAACACCUCAGGACAUGAUUGCAUCUUCUAUGAAAUCAUCUUGAAUGCAGACAAUGCACCAAAAGGACUGACUAAGUAGAUACCACUGGGCCAAAGAGACCAGAUUGAGACUCAGCAAUAAAACUGAGGAGCAGUGACAUUACAGAUUUGACUUGACUGUACAAAAGUUGAAAGAUGACGAUGAUCACAGCUACUGCCAGUAUUGUAGUGAAGACCACCUCAGUGAUAACAAUGGGACACAUUUAUUGUCACAGAUGAGCAAUGACACUUUUCAGCCCACUACACCUGUACUCAACAGCUGGGGUUUUCCUUCUGUGAUUAAUGUAGGGAUCACACGCAACCAGGAUCUUGUUCAAGCAAUGGAGUCUUUGCAUUUAUGUUUUUCUGUGGAAGAAACUAACAAGGAGAUUUAACAAAACAUGGCGUGGUCAUCCUUAUUACAAAGCCAUAUACUUCCAAUGACUUUGAAACAAGAGAACAGGAUCCAUUGUGCAAGAGAUACAACCAAACAUCCCAGGUUCAAGUCAUACCUCAAGAGGAUCUAUCGCCUCCAGUCCAGUGCGAGACCAACUGUACUGGUUUGAAUGGAGUCACAGUAUAUGGUGAUAAACAAUAUGACAUAUCUUCUAUUUCUGAAGGAAAUUACCAAUUUCCAGGAAUGAUACCUCAGCAGGAGGAAAACCUAGUGCUUCCGCCACAAGGAUCCUUAAUGCCUGGUGGGCUAAGUCAGCUGAGUCCUUAUCCAGUCCGUCUGAAUGAAACUGCAAAUAGAGUGAUUGUUCCCAGGUCCAGAGAGGAUGGUCCAUGGGUUUUGAUGAUGCUUACCAGUGUGAUACCCCGGCUGUUUAAUUUAAUCACCUAUUUGUAUUACAAGUCAUGAGUGUAUCCUGCAUUUUCAAAAGGCCAUUAAUUUAAUUAAAAAAAAAAUCAUAAUUUC
Acanthopagrus latus (yellowfin seabream) is the source of this 2612-nucleotide long non-coding RNA. RefSeq lists it as uncharacterized. The transcript has 6 exons. The record is from RefSeq and is a predicted model, not a curated record. Lineage: Eukaryota; Metazoa; Chordata; Actinopteri; Spariformes; Sparidae.